RNAcentral lists this unclassified non-coding RNA (402 nucleotides) under soil metagenome. RNAcentral describes it as "partial contains 5.8S ribosomal RNA, internal transcribed spacer 2, and large subunit ribosomal RNA". The stretch from base 1 to 121 matches the Rfam family "5.8S ribosomal RNA", at positions 35 to 154 of the family's 154-position model. The record is from RNAcentral.
GAUGAAGAACGUAGUGAAAUGCGAUAAGUAAUGUGAAUUGCAGAAUUCAGUGAAUCAUCGAAUCUUUGAACGCACCUUGCACCCUUUGGCUAUUCCGAAGGGUAUGCCUGUUUGAGUAUCAUGAACACCUCAACUCUCAUGGUUUGCCAUGAUGAGCUUGGACUUUGGGGGUCUUGCUGGCCUGUGGUCAGCUCCUCUCAAAUGGAUUAGCUUGCCAGUGUUUUGUGGCAUCACAGGUGUGAUAACUAUCUACGCUUGUGGUUUUCCACCAGGUAACCUUCAGCAAUGGGGGUUCGCUGGGGCUCAUAAAUGUCUCUCCUCAGUGAGGACAGCUCUUUGAACGUUUGAUCUCAAAUCAGGUAGGACUACCCGCUGAACUUAAGCAUAUCAAUAAGCGGAGGA